UUAAAAGUUAAAUGAGUGCACUUUAUUGUGGCUCAAACCUCUUUUAACAUCAACCCAUUUUUUAAACCCAAAGCUGUCUUGUGUGCUUUCUUGAUUGAGAGUAUAGCAUUUCAGUAGUACGCAUCAGGGACAAUUUAUUGUUCAGGUUGCAUUACCCCCCCUUAUAAGUGACCCCCCCAUUUUUUGAAGUCAUUAACACAUUAAAAAAAGUUUUAAGAAUGUAAACCCCCUUUAAAAUGAAAAUAU
RNAcentral lists this unclassified non-coding RNA (246 nucleotides) under Nothopucciniastrum hikosanense. RNAcentral's name for it is "Pucciniastrum hikosanense ITS1". The record is from RNAcentral. Lineage: Eukaryota; Fungi; Basidiomycota; Pucciniomycetes; Pucciniales; Pucciniastraceae.